AUGAACGCUAGCGGCAGGCUUAACACAUGCAAGUCGAGGGGCAGCGUGGAGCAGCAAUGCUCUGACGGCGACCGGCGGAAGGGUGCGUAACACGUGAGCGACUUGCCCGUCACAGGGGGAUAACCGGCGGAAACGGCGACUAAUACCCCAUACGAUGCGAUGCUGCAUGGCAUUGCAUUGAAAGAUUCAUCGGUGGCGGAUAGGCUCGCGGGACAUUAGCUAGACGGCGGGGCAACGGCCCACCGUGGCGACGAUGUCUAGGGGUUCUGAGAGGAAGGUCCCCCACAUUGGAACUGAGACACGGUCCAAACUCCUACGGGAGGCAGCAGUGAGGAAUAUUGGUCAAUGGACGAGAGUCUGAACCAGCCAAGUAGCGUGCAGGAAGACGGCCCUAUGGGUUGUAAACUGCUUUUAUAAGGGAAUAAAGUGAGUCUCGUGAGACUUUUUGCAUGUACCUUAUGAAUAAGGACCGGCUAAUUCCGUG
This 484-nucleotide ribosomal RNA is filed under the name uncultured bacterium. RNAcentral describes it as "bacterial SSU rRNA". It matches the Rfam family "Bacterial small subunit ribosomal RNA", at positions 29 to 507 of the family's 1533-position model. The record is from RNAcentral.